CCAAGAGAAACUUCCAAAAUGCAGAAUUUCAGAUCUUUCCUCAGACCUACUGAAUCAGAACAUGGAGGAUAUAGGUCCUAAAAACUUGUGUUUUUCAUGAAGCUCCCCAGAUACACUUAAAAUUGGUGGCAAAUUUUAAUGGAGUAGAAAGACUUUCCUACGUAUCCUCUGCAUUUGAAGUUCCAAGAAAGAUGUUCCAAGAAUAAUUUGCUCUAAAGAGGGUCAGAAUCAUCAAUAUCAGUAUCUUCCACUUCUACAUCUUGUCGCACUGGAAGGUCUUCAGGGGCAAUAGCAAGCACGGAACUGUCAUCUCCUAUGAGGACAAUGCACUAGGUUUGUUUACA
Molecule: long non-coding RNA, 344 nt
Organism: Gorilla gorilla gorilla (western lowland gorilla)
Lineage: Eukaryota; Metazoa; Chordata; Mammalia; Primates; Hominidae
Exons: 3
Source: RefSeq, a predicted model, not a curated record